GCUUUGUUAGCUCAGUCGGGAGAGCAUGAGACUUUUAAUCUCAGGGUCACGGGUUCGAGCCCCGUACAAAGCU
Molecule: transfer RNA, 73 nt
Filed under: Entomophthora muscae
Lineage: Eukaryota; Fungi; Entomophthoromycota; Entomophthoromycetes; Entomophthorales; Entomophthoraceae
Description: tRNA-Lys
Rfam family: tRNA
About the family: Transfer RNA (tRNA) molecules are approximately 80 nucleotides in length. Their secondary structure includes four short double-helical elements and three loops (D, anti-codon, and T loops).
Source: RNAcentral